Molecule: long non-coding RNA, 447 nt
Organism: Dermacentor albipictus
Lineage: Eukaryota; Metazoa; Arthropoda; Arachnida; Ixodida; Ixodidae
Source: RefSeq, a predicted model, not a curated record
UACAUAUUACUUUUAUUAAGCGGUUGUAUUGCUUUCUCAUUAUGCAGAAGCUGGCAAGAGAGUGAAGAGGCUACGAAAAAUCCUCAACAUCGAGAGCAAGCCAGAAGAACCAGUAAUUGCUUGCACACAGGUUGACAUUGGUGGCCGGACGCUGAUUGAUAAGAACAUCCUCGAUCAGCUGAGCCAGGCCUGUGACUGUACCAGUGGCCGUGGAAAAUUCGUCAGGGUACUUUUGCACCACGUCUUUACUGAUGGUGGGCUCCACAGCAAGCCGCUGCUUGGGGGAAGAGCUGCCUACGUGGCGAGACGGUUCAAGAGGAGGCCCUCAACACUGUAUGCGUGGAGACCGAUAGGAUACACCUGCUCAGUUUCCGGGAGCCAGUGUUCCGUACAUCAAGAAGAGCCUAUCCUUGCUUCUUUCGUGAUAAAUAAAAUGAAGUAAGACCA